CGUGUAGGCGGCCAGAAAAGUCCGCUGUGAAAACUCGAGGCUCAACUUCGAGCUGUCGGUGGAAACUUUCUGGCUAGAGUCCGGAAGAGGAGAAUGGAAUUCCUGGUGUAGCGGUGAAAUGCGCAGAUAUCAGGAAGAACACCCGUGGCGAAGGCGGUUCUCUGGGACGGUACUGACGCUGAGACGCGAAAACGUGGGGAGCGGAAC
This 207-nucleotide ribosomal RNA is filed under the name uncultured bacterium. RNAcentral describes it as "partial 16S ribosomal RNA". It matches the Rfam family "Bacterial small subunit ribosomal RNA", at positions 568 to 774 of the family's 1533-position model. The record is from RNAcentral.